GACGAACGCUGGCGGCGUGCUUAACACAUGCAAGUCGAACGGAAAGGCCUGCUUUCCCUUGUGGAUUGCGGGUACUCGAGUGGCGAACGGGUGAGUAACACGUGAGUGAUCUGCCCCCAACUUGGGUAUAAGCCUGGGAAACUGGGUCUAAUUCCCGAUAGGACCGCAGGGUGGUGCCUGUGGUGGAAAACGAUUUUCUAGUGGUUGGGGAUGAGCUCGCGGCCUAUCAGCUUGUUGGUGGGGUAAUGGCCUACCAAGGCGGCGACGGGUAGCCGGCCUGAGAGGGUGGACGGCCACAUUGGGACUGAGAUACGGCCCAGACUCCUACGGGAGGCAGCAGUGGGGAAUAUUACACAAUGGGCGGAAGCCUGAUGCAGCGACGCCGCGUGGGGGAUGACGGCCUUCGGGUUGUAAACUCCUUUCGACCGCGAGGAAGCCACCUGGUUUGAAGGGUGGUGACGGUAGUGGUAGAAGAAGCACCGGCUAACUACGUG
This 494-nucleotide ribosomal RNA is filed under the name uncultured bacterium. Its description in RNAcentral is "partial 16S ribosomal RNA". It matches the Rfam family "Bacterial small subunit ribosomal RNA", at positions 28 to 507 of the family's 1533-position model. The record is from RNAcentral.